UAUUAAUCUGGGAUAACUUAUUUGCAAGAAUCAUGGGCAUUUAAUUAUCAAGCUAUUUCCAUUGCACAGGACAGUGUCUGUCACAUAGUAGACCCUCAAUAUAUGUUCUUGGUCUUAGCCAAUGGAUCUGGCUACCUUUCUAAACUCUUGAAUUAAUUCUAAUACAAUUGAUGGAGUUCUUUUACUUGGAAUGUUCAGAAUCAGCUUCUCCUAAUUUGAUGAUAUUUCUGGGGUUCAGGUAGAUCCAAAGAGUUCAGUGAUUGACAACAAAAUAGUAUGCAAUAAAAUGCAACUUAGUUGCCAUUAAAACUUGGACAACUAAGAACUCUCACUAAUACAUGAUUCCUUUGAGACUGCUAGGACCUCCCCAAGCUCGCUGAAAGCAUCCCUGACUGGUUGCACUAAAGUCCAGCACGCCACCCCAUCACCAUGUGCCACACGGUGUAGCACAUGUGCGACUCAUGUGCCACCUGUGUAGUACCGACAAUUUUAUAUUCUCUGUAAAAAAUGUCCACAUCUGCUCUCAAUCUCUUCGUCUUCCUGUGCUCUUUUUCUACCAGAUUAUUUCCACCUGUGUAAAUACAUGUUCUAUAACCUCAUACUUUUAUUUAAAAAAAGGAGCCCUUGGAGUUUUCACCAUGGUGCAGUGGGAUUGGCCUUGUCUUGGGAGUACUGGGACACAGGUUUGAUCCCUGCUCUGGCCCAGCACAGUGGGUUAAGUAUCUGGUGUUGCCGCAGCUGCGGCUCAGAUCUGAUCCCUGGCCUGGAAACUCCAUAUGCCCCGGGGCGUGCCCCCCCAAAAAAGCAUCCCUCCCUUGACAUCAUACCCCUUCUUUCCUUCUUUCUCCUUUGUCCCAUUUCUCUGCUCUCCUUUACAGCAAAACCUCUUGAAAGAAUUGCCAACAGUUGUCUCCCCUUUUUCAUCAGCUGUUUCCUCCGUAAGCCACUCUAACAGAUUUCUGUCUGCUAAAGCCACGCUUGUGAAGUGGCGUCCUUGUUACUAAGUCCCAAGUUUCCUUCUCUGCUUUUAUUUUAUUUGACUUGUCAGAGUAUUUGGUACAGACGAUGACUCUCAUUCUUGAAACAUUUACUUCUCUUGGCUUCCUCGAGAGCAUGCGCUUCUGGUUUCGUGCCCUAUUUCUGUGGCCAUUCCUUAUGGCCUCUGUUGCCGGCUCUUUGAUGCUGCAUCCCUAAGUAGGUAUGCCUCACGGCUGGGCUCUGGCCCUCUGCUGUUCCCUGUCUCUACCCACUGUCUAGGAUCUCAUCCAUUCGUAUGUGGUUCCAGAAAUCCAUGUCCGGAUGACUUCCACACUUAUAGAUCCAGCCUUUAUCUCUCCUCUGAGCGCCUGAGGCUUAGUCCACAUCCAUCCUUGAACUCAGGGUCUAGCGGCAUCUUCAGCUUAACAUGUCCAAGCCAGAACUUUCAAAUUUCGCCAUUUUCCAAAUCUAUUCCUCCCCCUUGUCUUCCCCGCUCCACAAAUGACAGCACCAUCUGUAAUGUGGCUCUCAUCCCGGUUUAUGCCAAAGAGUUAAGGGAAGUGUGUGGCGGGAGUACCAGCUAUGUUCCCAGGGCACUGUUCCCCGGACUGUCCUUUCUCCAAGCCGACCCUCCUCAUUUUGUAGUACAUGUCCCAGAACCCAUUAUCUUUUACGGCCAGUUCUACCUCCCCACCAUUCCCACUUCCUGUUCCUUCUUCUUAAGAGUUGUGGACUCAUAAUGACUCUAGAAGCAGAGGUGCUGAAGGCUGGAGUGGGCAAUGGCAUUGUCUUUUCACAGGGUAUAUUCAGCCAAGAGAAGGUGGGCUUCCUGGUUUUCUGGGUGAUGCAGCUCUUGCAUCUCUGGGAUGUGGAGCAGGAGGAGGCAUGAUGCAUUUUUGGAAAGUCCUUCAGGCUAGUGUGUUUGUUUUCUUCCAAUUCCAUUCCCCCCCCCCUUUAAUGUUAUUUGGGCAUUCCCACUGUGGCACAGUGGGUUAAGGACUCAGCAUUGUCUCUAUAACUCAGGUCACUGCUGAGGUGUGGUUAAGGACUCAGCAUUGUCUCUGUAACUCAGGUCACUGCUGCGGUGUGGGUUCAAUCCCCAGUCCGGUGCAGCGGGUUAAAGGUCUGACGUUGCUGCUCCUGUAGCAUAGGUCACAGCUGCAGCUCAGAUUUGAUCCCUGGCUUCCACAUGCUGCAGGUGGGGCCAAAAAAAUAAUUGAUUUUAAAUGCUAUUUGUUUUCGUCCAUUUUUUUCCCCCUUUAUCAUCAUGGGUAUUUUGGUAGGGAGUGAGAAAGCCUAAAUCAAAAACUGUCAGAUGGUGUUUUAAACUAGAAAUCCCUAGAGAAAGGCAAAUAUAAACAAUUAUGAGAAACUUCUUUAUGCUCAUCAGAAUGACACAAUUCAGAAAAAUGUUGGCACUGAUGUGGGGAGACGGGAACUUUGAUGGACUGCUGGUGAGAGCAUAACUGAUACAAUGAUUCUGGAAGGUAGUUUGGCAGAAUCUAGUGAAAUGAAACAUGUGUAUGACCUAUGACCCAGAAAUCACGCUCAGGCACGUAGAUCCUAGAGAAAUUAUGUGUACAGAUCCAAAAGGCCACGUCUAAAGAUUUCGUUGUCAUGUUGCUUGUAAUAGCAGGGAGCUAACGGCAGCCUAGGUGCCCAUUACAAAAGGAAUGGUAAGUCAAGUGCAGUGGAAGCAGCUCUGGGAUAUGCAGGAGGGAAGCAAGAGCCUACACACUGCAAUGGGGGUAAGCUUUAAGAUCACUAUUGAGUCAGGAGUUUUCAUUGUGACGCAGUGGAAAUGAAUCCAACUAGUAUCCUUGAGGAUUUGGGUUCGAUCCCUGGCCUUGCUCAGUGGGUUGAGGAUCCAGUGUUGCUGUGAGCUGUGGUGUAGGUCUCAGAUGUGGCUCCGAUCUGGCGUUGCUGUGGCUGUGGUGUAGGCCAGUAGCUGUAGCUCGGAUUCGACCCCUAGCCUGGGAACCUCCAUAUGCUGCAGGUGCAGCCCUACCCCCACCCCCCAAAAAAAUCUCAUAUUUUAUGAAGAUAAAUGGAUAUCUAAGGUUAUAUGCUAAAUGUGUCAGCGAAGGUAUUUGUGCUGAGGGAGGAGUUUGAAGGUACACAUUAGGGAUAAAGAUGCAGAAGCCCCGUUGCCUCCUGAGAGGUAAGAGCAGCAUGCUCAAAAUCGGACAGAAAGUUCAGAUUUGAAAUAUUUCCCCUGUGAAUUUCAGAAGUCUAGAUUUAUACUUUCUGAAAGUCUUUUUUUUUUUUUUAAGAACUACCUUUAAAGCCCAGGCCCACGACUAGCACGCGUGGGCCAGGUCUUUGUCGAUGGUGGUGAGGGGUAGACUUUCACUCCUUUCGGCCCCCACACUGCUCCACGUUGCCGUUGGUGUGGGAUUCUCUGCAGAGUCAGUCACCCUGGGUCUAGAGGAUGAGCCCUGUCCAUCAGGCAAAGAACACUCACCCCUGCCCCCCCGCCCCCGCCCCAGCACCAGGGCAGUGAUUGGCAGUAAACAGGCUUUCAGCACCUUGCUGGCGACUUCCAGUUAUAUCACUCUGUGGGCGACUUUCCUAGUGUAACAUGCUUGCCUUGCCACGGGGCUUAGCCAGGCAAUUCCCCUCUCUCCCCCCAAAAGCAGAUCUCACCCGAAGAAACAGUGUGGGGACGUCUCCCAAGAUGAAUAAUCUGGUCACAGGUAAAUAACACAAAAAUGGGCUUCCGUGAGUGAUGGCCAAACCCAUCUCCAUAGGAAAACAGCAUCUUUUCCAUUUAAGAAAGACCUUUGAGGAGCUCUGUUCCAGUUCAGCCAAUUGUCUCCCAAAUGUCUGUUGAGUGCCUCCUGAGUGCGAGGGGGCUGAAGCUUGGGGGCAAUUCCACGAGAUGACCAGACGGCUCUAGACUGAGUGGUACCCAGAGUGCGGUACAUGGCGUACAGUCCUUGGUGCAAUAAUAGGAAAGAAGAAGGACAUACAUUUAUAGAAUGUUUUAUACCACUCCGAAGUGCUUUCCUGCCAAUUAUCUCAGCGUGGCUUUCAACCAUACUCUCAGGCAGUACUUGUGAUCAGGUAGCUGUUUUCUUUGGAAAAUGGUCCCCAGCAUUGGGCUACCUACUUUUUGGGGUUGCAUGAGUGUGUGUGUGUGUGUGUGUUGGGGGCAGGGGGAGAGGCAAUUGUCGUGUGCUUCCGUGGAAGGAGAUGAGGGAGCCAGGACUGAAACAUUUCCCAUCCUUCGUCAGUGAUUCUCAACCCUGCCUAUUGAUUCCCUGGGGGUGUGUCGAAAUUUUUCCAAGGAAAUUAAUUGUCAUGCACUUCCGUUUUUAAAAUAUACCUAAGUGCUGUGUAGCACAAUGCUUCUAUUCAGAGGUGGGCCAGGGGGGUGGACUGGGAGUUAUAUGUGUGUCAGAGAAGCUGUCCAUCAGCCAAAGAACACUAGGCAGCUGAAACUCCCCCAAAUUUGGGGGAGUGAUUGGUCUGUGUUCACACUGGCAGGGUUGGCAGAGGCAAAAGGGGGUGGUGUUCCUGAAAAAGUUGCUAUAAGUUGUUGGAUGACUGGAGCGACUCCAGACUCUCAACAGGAGAUGCCCUGACUGGGGCUCCAGCUGUUCAGAUGCCCAGCUCUUCCCAGAGUCUGGAAAAGCAGGCUUCCUGGCCCCUGGGGAGUAUGUCACACCCCCACCGCACAGUGGGUGGUGAGGCUUCAAUUUACCAAUAUUAUUUUUAAUUGGCUGAGUUAACGAUUCAGUGCUUUUUAGCAUUUGUUUAUUGAUACCAAGGAGUGCUGUUGGAUGACUGCUGAGUUUAAGAACAGAAUGGUGUUGGAGUUCCUGCUGUGGCUCAGUGGUAAGAAGCCCGGUUAGUAUCCAUGCGGACACAGAUUCAUUCCCUGGCCUCACUCAGUGGGUUAAGGAUCUGGCAUUGCCGUGAGCUGUGGUGCAGGUUGCAGACAUGGCUCAGAUCCUGCAUGGCUGUGCCUGUGGCUGGCAGCUGCAGCAGCUCUGAUUCCACUCCUAGCCUGGGAACUUCCGUACGCCACACGUGUGGCC
RNAcentral lists this long non-coding RNA (5021 nucleotides) under Sus scrofa (pig). RNAcentral's name for it is "lncRNA (ENSSSCG00000053582.1)". Lineage: Eukaryota; Metazoa; Chordata; Mammalia; Artiodactyla; Suidae. The record is from RNAcentral.